UAGGGAAUCUUCGGCAAUGGGGGGAACCCUGACCGAGCAACGCCGCGUGAGUGAAGAAGGUUUUCGGAUCGUAAAGCUCUGUUGUUAAGGAAGAACGAGUGUGAGAAUGGAAAGUUCAUGCUGUGACGGUACUUAACCAGAAAGGGACGGCUAACUACGUGCCAGCAGCCGCGGUAAUACGUAGGUCCCGAGCGUUGUCCGGAAUUAUUGGGCGUAAAGCGCGCGUAGGCGGUUUUUUAAGUCUGAUGUGAAAGCCCACGGCUCAACCGUGGAGGGUCAUUGGAAACUGGAAAACUUGAGUGCAGAAGAGGAAAGUGGAAUUCCAUGUGUAGCGGUGAAAUGCGUAGAUAUAUGGAGGAACACCAGUGGCGAAGGCGACUCUCUGGUCUGUAACUGACGCUGAGGCUCGAAAGCGUGGGUAGCAAACAGG
RNAcentral lists this ribosomal RNA (430 nucleotides) under Bacteroidota bacterium. RNAcentral's name for it is "Bacteroidetes bacterium partial 16S ribosomal RNA". It matches the Rfam family "Bacterial small subunit ribosomal RNA", at positions 355 to 776 of the family's 1533-position model. The record is from RNAcentral. Lineage: Bacteria; Pseudomonadati; Bacteroidota.